Molecule: long non-coding RNA, 1013 nt
Filed under: Homo sapiens (human)
Lineage: Eukaryota; Metazoa; Chordata; Mammalia; Primates; Hominidae
Description: HSALNT0188750
Source: RNAcentral
GUAAAUCCAAAAUUAUAGUUGGAGAUUCCAGCACUUCUCUUGCAGGAGUUGAUAGAAGUAGCAAAAAAUAAAAAGUAUAGAGGUUUUGAAAAAUACUAUCAACCAACUUGACUCCAUUGACAGUCAUAGAACACUUCACCCAACAACAGGACACAUAUUAUUCCCUACGCAUAUGGAACAAUGAUCAUAUAAACCAUAAUUUGGGCCAUAAAACAAGUAUCAAUUACCCUAAGAAGUCUAAAAUAAUACAAAAUAUGUUCUCUGACCACUAUGGUAUUAAACUAUAAAUCAAUAAUUGAGAGAUCUUUGGAAAAUUCCCAAAUAUUUUACAAAUUAAGCAACAUACUUCCAUAUAACCCUGAGUCAAAAAAGAAAUCACAGGGAAAGUUAUGAAAUACUUUGAACCGAGCAAAAAUAGAAACAUAUCACAAUUUUGAGGAUGCUGCCAAAUCAGUGCUUAGAGGAAAAAACUAGAAAAGGAAGAACAAAAAAACCCAAAAUAAGCAGAAGGAAGGAAAUAAUAAGAAUAAGAAUAGAGACCAAUAGAAAACAAACAAAAAUAGAAGAAAAUCAAUGCAACUAAAAUCUGAUGUUUUGAAAAGAUUAAUGCAAUUGAUAAAACUCUAGCCAUAUUUACCAGGAAGAAAAGAGAGAAGACAAGCUAACAAUAUGAAGAAUAAGAGACUACAGACUCUACAGUGGGAAUAAUAUGAGAGAGCAAUAUGAAAAACCUUUAUGCCAAUAAAGUUGGUAAAUUAGAUGAAAUGGGCAAAUUCUUUAACAUACGUAACCUAUCGAUGCUCACUAAAGAAAAAAAAAGCUUUGAAUAUCCGUAAAUCUACUAAAGAAAUUGGAUUCAUAAUAUAAAAAACCUUUCCCUCAAAGAAAACUCCAGCCCCAGAUAGUUUAAUUGGUGAGUUCUGCCAAACAUUUAAGAAAAAAAAGAUACGGUUCUAUAAAAACUCUUUCAAAAAAUUGAAUAGUAAAGAACACUUCUCAAAUCAUUUUAUGAG